RNAcentral lists this ribosomal RNA (497 nucleotides) under uncultured bacterium. RNAcentral describes it as "partial 16S ribosomal RNA". It matches the Rfam family "Bacterial small subunit ribosomal RNA", at positions 28 to 507 of the family's 1533-position model. The record is from RNAcentral.
GAUGAACGCUGGCGGCGUGCCUAAUACAUGCAAGUCGAGCGAACAGACGAGGAGCUUGCUCCUCUUACGUUAGCGUCGGACGGGUGAGUAACAUGUGGAUAACCUACCUAUAAGACUGGGAUAACUUCGUGAAACCGGAGCUAAUUCCGGAUAAUAUCUUGAACCGCAUGGUUCAAUAGCGAAAGACGGUUUUGCUUUCACUUAUAGAUGGAUUCGCGCCGUAUUAGCUAGUUGGUAAGGUAACGGCUUACCAAGGCAACGAUGAGUAGCCGACCUGAGAGGAUGAUCAGCCACACUGGAACUGAGACACGGUCCAGACUCCUACGGGAGGCAGCAGUGGGGAAUCUUGCGCAAUGGGCGAAAGCCUGACGGAGCAACGCCGCGUGAGUGAAGAAGGUCUUCGGAUCGUAAAACACUGUUAUUAGGGAAGAAAAGAUGUGGAAGAAAAUAUGCACGUGUUGACGGUACCGGAUCAGAAAGCCACGGCUAACUACGUG